UACGUAGGGUGCGAGCGUUGUCCGGAAUUAUUGGGCGUAAAGGGCUCGUAGGCGGUUUGUCGCGUCGGGAGUGAAAUCAUCUGGCUUAACUGGGUGCUUGCUUUCGAUACGGGCAGACUAGAGGUAUGCAGGGGAGAACGGAAUUCCCGGUGUAGUGGUGAAAUGCGUAGAUAUCGGGAGGAACACCAGUGGCGAAGGCGACUACCUGGCCUGUUCUUGACGCUGAGGCGCGAAAGCUAGGGGAGCAAACGGG
RNAcentral lists this ribosomal RNA (253 nucleotides) under uncultured bacterium. RNAcentral's name for it is "partial 16S ribosomal RNA". It matches the Rfam family "Bacterial small subunit ribosomal RNA", at positions 524 to 776 of the family's 1533-position model. The record is from RNAcentral.